GCUAUAGUAGCUCAAUGGUAGAGCCCCAGCUUUGAACGCCGAGAGACCUGGGUUCGAUCCCCGGCUGCU
This 69-nucleotide transfer RNA is filed under the name Toxocara canis (dog roundworm). It matches the Rfam family "tRNA". Rfam says of the family: Transfer RNA (tRNA) molecules are approximately 80 nucleotides in length. Their secondary structure includes four short double-helical elements and three loops (D, anti-codon, and T loops). Lineage: Eukaryota; Metazoa; Nematoda; Chromadorea; Rhabditida; Toxocaridae. The record is from Rfam by way of RNAcentral.